Molecule: ribosomal RNA, 693 nt
Filed under: Triticum aestivum (bread wheat)
Lineage: Eukaryota; Viridiplantae; Streptophyta; Magnoliopsida; Poales; Poaceae
Description: partial small subunit ribosomal RNA
Source: RNAcentral
AUGGUGAGGCCGCACGCCGUGGUGGUGCCGCACCCGAGCUCCGGUAACAUCAACCCGGCGCUCCAGCUGGCCAAGCUGCUGCACCACCACGGCGUCUACAUCACCUUCGUCAACACCGAGCACAACCACCGCAUCAUGGAGGCCACCGAGGGCGCCGCCGCAGUGCGUGGCCACGAGGGGUUCCGGUUCGAGGCGAUCCCGGACGGGCUGGUGGAGGCUGACCGGGACGCAGAGGACUACGACCUCAUGCUGUCUGCCGCCACGAGCCAGCGGUCCGCGGAGCCGCUGAAGGAGCUCCUCCUGCGGCUCAACGGCACCCAGGGCAUGCCGCCGGUGACCUGCGUGCUGCCGACAUCGCUGAUGAGCUUCGCUCUGGACGUGGCGCGGGAGCUGGGCGUGCCGAGCAUGGUGCUCUGGGCUUGUAGCGCCGCAUCGCUGAUGACCCAAAUGCGGCUCCGGGAACUAAAGGAAAGAGGCUAUGUGCCACUCAAAGACGGGAGCUGCUUGACGAACGGACACCUGAGUGCGACAGUCGUCGACUGGAUCCCGGCGUGCCGCCGAUCAGCCUCGGAGACACCUCCAGCUUCCUCCGCACGACCAACCCGGACGACUUUGGCCUCCGUUUCAACAUCGUGGAGGCCAACGGCUGCACCAAGGCCGGCGCGCUCAUCCUCAACACCUUCGACGACCUAG